UCUGCGAUAAGCGCCGGUAAGGUGAUAUGAACCGUUAUAACCGGCGAUUUCCGAAUGGGGAAACCCAGUGUGACUCGUCACACUAUCAUUAACUGAAUCCAUAGGUUAAUGAGGCGAACCGGGGGAACUGAAACAUCUAAGUACCCCGAGGAAAAGAAAUCAACCGAGAUUCCCCCAGUAGCGGCGAGCGAACGGGGAGGAGCCCAGAGCCUGAAUCAGCAUGUGUGUUAGUGGAAGCGUCUGGAAAGGCGCGCGAUACAGGGUGACAGCCCCGUACACAAAAGCGCAUGUGCUGUGAGCUCGAUGAGUAGGGCGGGACACGUGGUAUCCUGUCUGAAUAUGGGGGGACCAUCCUCCAAGGCUAAAUACUCCUGACUGACCGAUAGUGAACCAGUACCGUGAGGGAAAGGCGAAAAGAACCCCGGCGAGGGGAGUGAAAAAGAACCUGAAACCGUGUACGUACAAGCAGUGGGAGCACCUUUUGGGGUGUGACUGCGUACCUUUUGUAUAAUGGGUCAGCGACUUAUAUUCUGUAGCAAGGUUAACCGUAUAGGGGAGCCGCAGGGAAACCGAGUCUUAACCGGGCGUUAAGUUGCAGGGUAUAGACCCGAAACCCGGUGAUCUAGCCAUGGGCAGGUUGAAGGUUGGGUAACACUAACUGGAGGACCGAACCGACUAAUGUUGAAAAAUUAGCGGAUGACCUGUGGCUGGGGGUGAAAGGCCAAUCAAACCGGGAGAUAGCUGGUUCUCCCCGAAAGCUAUUUAGGUAGCGCCUCGUGAAUUCAUCUCCGGGGGUAGAGCACUGUUUCGGCUAGGGGGCCAUCCCGGCUUACCAACCCGAUGCAAACUGCGAAUACCGGAGAAUGUUAUCACGGGAGACACACGGCGGGUGCUAACGUCCGUCGUGAAGAGGGAAACAACCCAGACCGCCAGCUAAGGUCCCAAAGUCAUGGUUAAGUGGGAAACGAUGUGGGAAGGCCCAGACAGCCAGGAUGUUGGCUUAGAAGCAGCCAUCAUUUAAAGAAAGCGUAAUAGCUCACUGGUCGAGUCGGCCUGCGCGGAAGAUGUAACGGGGCUAAACCAUGCACCGAAGCUGCGGCAGCGACACUCAGGUGUUGUUGGGUAGGGGAGCGUUCUGUAAGCCUGCGAAGGUGGCCUGUGAGGGUUGCUGGAGGUAUCAGAAGUGCGAAUGCUGACAUAAGUAACGAUAAAGCGGGUGAAAAGCCCGCUCGCCGGAAGACCAAGGGUUCCUGUCCAACGUUAAUCGGGGCAGGGUGAGUCGACCCCUAAGGCGAGGCCGAAAGGCGUAGUCGAUGGGAAACGGGUUAAUAUUCCCGUACUUGGUGUUACUGCGAAGGGGGGA
RNAcentral lists this ribosomal RNA (1363 nucleotides) under Salmonella enterica subsp. enterica serovar Ruiru. Its description in RNAcentral is "partial 23S ribosomal RNA". It matches the Rfam family "Bacterial large subunit ribosomal RNA", at positions 65 to 1472 of the family's 2925-position model. Lineage: Bacteria; Pseudomonadati; Pseudomonadota; Gammaproteobacteria; Enterobacterales; Enterobacteriaceae. The record is from RNAcentral.